CAAUAGCGUAUAUUAAAGUUGCUGCAGUUAAAAAGCUCGUAGUUGGAUUUGUGGCGCGGCCGUCCGGCGGGGCUCUUUCAUUAGGGCCGUUUGUCCGGUUUUUCGGCCGCUCCAUUCUCGGGUAGCGUGUCGCUGGCAUUAGGUUGUCGGCUUCUUCGCGCCCGUCGUUUACUGUGAAAAAAUUAAGAGUGUUCAAAGCAGGCUUAGGCCGUUGGAUACAUUAGCAUGGAAUAAUGAGAUAGGGCCACGACGGUCUAUUUUGUUGGUUUGCACGUUGUGGUAAUGAUUAACAGGAACGGUUGGGGGUAUUCGUAUUCAAUGUCAGAGGUGAAAUUCUUGGAUUUAUGGAAGACGAACUACUGCGAAAGCAUUUUACCAAAGGAUGUUUUUCAUUAAUCAAGAACGAAAGUUA
This 412-nucleotide ribosomal RNA is filed under the name uncultured eukaryote. Its description in RNAcentral is "SSU rRNA". It matches the Rfam family "Eukaryotic small subunit ribosomal RNA", at positions 592 to 992 of the family's 1831-position model. The record is from RNAcentral.